UCGAUUUGAACCGAAUACUCACCCUUACUUGAGAGAGAGAGUUGACGGCAAGAAGAAGAAGAAGAAGAUAAAAUUAUUAAUUCAUUUCUUUCUCUAACUCUUACAGAUAUUUUAAUUUCCCUAAUGAUAAUUAACCUUUAUAAGUGUCCACAUCUAAUUUCCUAGUUAGAUGUGUUUUCUAAUUCUUAUUAGGCCACUUGUCAGGUUAAGUUAAUUAGGGAAAUAAAACAUUAAUUAAUUAGUAUUAUGUAAAAUACCAGUUAACCACCACAUUCUCUCUUCUUUGACUUCUCAAGUCUAAUUAACCAAAUUAAUAUCUCACCUUAUAAUUAAUUAAUCAAGUUUACAUUUAAAUACUUUAAAUAUUAACUUGAUUACUUUCAUUGAAAA
Molecule: unclassified non-coding RNA, 390 nt
Filed under: Hevea brasiliensis (rubber tree)
Lineage: Eukaryota; Viridiplantae; Streptophyta; Magnoliopsida; Malpighiales; Euphorbiaceae
Source: RNAcentral